CUUGCAUUCCGAGCCGCUCCCAGGCAUGGUCUUAAGCUUGCUGCAGCCGACCUGAUUGGGGUCCUUCCACACUCUCCUGCUGCACCUACAUCACUGACCAAUGCAUUCAAACUUAUCCAAAACAAAAACAAAACAACCAGACAAUAAGGUUUCAAGCUCAAAGCCAUCUCUGUUACACUCUGCGAAACUCACUCUUUUUCCACACUGAUUUUGCUGACCUCCACCAAUGCAUAUUUAUACACACAUUUAAAAAAAAAAAAGGGGGGGUUCGACCUUAGGGGUGGUAAAAUUUGGGUUUAGUGCGGUGGUUGUGGGAGACUUACGUGGAAGCAUUUUGUGUCUUCUUCUUCCCUUAGGUUAUUCAAGAUGUAAUGAUUAGUUGAAUGUUCCCACUGAAAGGAUCCAUCGCUUGUUACUUUGGUAGAUUUUGGUUCAUAAAUAGAAUGCUAUUUCCUUGGCUAUUUUGUUAAAUUUUUCUGUUAUGUUCUCUUCUUCAGGUUGCCUUAGGGUAGGUGGCAGUGUGAACAUAUGCAUCGAAGGGUUUCCGUUAUCUUUUUGGCAUGCUUGGAGACUUUCAAUAAUUUGCUCCACUAUGAUAUAUUGAAAUAUAUUAGACUAUACGUGGCUUAAACUUAUUAACCUACUGCUGGAUAUGACCUUAUCUCAAUAAGAAAAGCAUAUACAUGACGUAUGUGCUCUCCUAUAUACUUUCAUAUCCUAAUUGUUUCUUAAAUAUCAACACCAUGCAUCAUCAAUGAAAAUCAAAGCAGAAAAUAAUUAAAACAACAUAUAUUUAGUGAUUUCAACCAAAAAUCUGAAAUUAAAUCAAGAGUCAAGUAAAUUGGAUUACAACCUAAUUAUUAGUCAUUAUUAUCCCAAAACACACUCCAGCUAAAAGAAUACAUAUUAUGGAAAUAGAUUGUAUGAAACUGUGAUUCCACAUCAUCUUUGUCCCUUUUCAAUGUGAGAAUGACAAAUCAGAUUUCCUCCUGAUUUUCUGUAGUUUUAGUUGGAUUUGAAUUUUUUUCAAGAGAAAAAAAGCUAAAAAUCAAGAAGAAAAAUCUGAUUUGUCAUUCUCACAUUGGACAGGGAUAAAGAUGACAUGGAAUCACAUUUUCAUACAAUCCUUUCUCCACAUCUUAUUACAUCAUUACUAUUUAUUUCAUUUUAUACCUUUUUUCUAAAUUUAAUAUAAUUUUUUACUAUUAAAAAUAAAAUAUUUAUUUUAUAAAUUAUUAAGAGAAUAUAUAUUAUUCACUAUUACCACAUUUCUAGUCUUGAGAUUGAUAUUAAUUUCUUGACAAAAAUAUUAUAAUGAAAGGUCCACCAACUGUUUAAAUUUUAAUGACAGGUUUUGAUUUUACUAAUUGUUGAGUGCACUUCAAUAUUUUCUUUUCACUAAUUGUCCUCUUUAGUUAAGGUGAUUUUUUAGUAGCUUUUUUGUAUUGUGGUUUUUUUUUGUUUUUUUGAAAUUUGCUAGUUUGUGAAAGAAGUGAAACUAGGUUUUCUGGUAAAUUGGUUAAUGCAAGUAACCAAUGGUCACGAGAUUAACUAAAAUUUUAACUAAGACAAAUGCACCUAUCAAUUGUAACUACAAGUAUUUGUAAUUAUUGUCUUUUAAUUAUUUAACUGAAUAAUUCGAAUGAUCGAUUAAAACUAAAAAUAACUAAUUUAAUUAACUAACGAACACGACAAAAUGCAAAAUACGAAAAAAUCAAGUAACAACCAAUAAAUGAAACAAUACCCAGAAAAGAAUCCGUCUAGAUUUAAUCUUUCACCAGCAAUCUAAAUUACUUCUUUACUUAACACAUUGAUCUAUAAAAAUCCCUAAAUUAUGCUAAUAUCUCUUUCGAGCAUAAGUGCAACUAACUCUAGGUUGAUUAAAUGAAAUUUCUUUCUAAUCCAGUAGAUUCCCUUAUUAGAUUUGACUCUAAUCUAGUAGAUUUAUGUCGUCCUAUUUCUAGGAUUGCAUGCAACAACUCCACUCAAUUACACAAGAUCGAAUCGUAAACAGAGUCUAUUUCACCACUGAUUUAAGCACAUCGACCAUAGAUCAAUACUCUAGAAAUAUCAAACCAAGAAUUAAGCACACAUAAUUGAGAAUAAGAAACUAAGUAUUUAUUGCAUAAAAUAAAAAUCAAAUGACAUAAUCAAUUAUAUGAUUCAUCUCCCCUAGGUAUUUAGAAAAUUAGUUUAUGCUCGAAAAUAGAAAAAUCCAAGAUACAAUAUAACCGAAAGAAAUAAAGAAACUCAUGAUAAUCUCCUAAGAAAUCAACUAGGAAUCUUCAAUCUUGAUAGAAAUCUUCUUCCAAGUCGGCUUCAAUGAUGCUUUUCAAGUUGUUUUCUUAAGUAUUCUUUGCCGACUCCCUCUUAUCUUCCUUUUUUUCAUAUGUACAUUUUAGAUUGCCAGAAAAACCUAAAAAUCAUGAUUUUUCACUGUUCAGUACACAAUCUUGUGAAAUCGACAUGACCUACAACAAAUCUAUAUGGUCUGGCCGUUGAAAAAAGUGUAGCUCGUGUGGUUCCUUCAACUUGCUUUGACACUUCAAUUUUCGCCCAAGUUCCCCAUUAAGCAUUAAAACAUGAAUUUAAAAGAUUAGGAGUAUAAAAUUUAAAAUUAACAUCGAAAAAUCACGCAAAAAAAUAUGAUAAGAAUGAGGUUAAAACAUGUUAUUUUUACCACUUAUCAGUAACAUUAGGCCAAAUAAUAAUGAAAUCGAGAGUAAUAAUUUUGGAUGCAUAGUUAAAUUUGAGGAGAUGAUUCCAAUGUUGUUGCAAAUGGGCAUCAAGAUGCCCAUUACCAAUAUGAAUUUCCCAUCCUAAAGGUAUCCAUCUAUUGGGAAAUCUUCCCAUAUUGUAGUAAACAUGUAAUUGUUUUCUAUUUAUUUGAACAAUGAAUAAAUAAAUUUCACAUUUCACUGUUAUGCCUUUUGUAUUUCUGUCUUUCAUAUUUUGCAUGCAUAGAAAAAUUGUGACAAUCAAAUAUUUUCUCAUUGAUUGUUAAAGUUCAAACUGAUGAUAAAUGGCGUUGAAAGAACGUUUAUUGUGAGAAAGACAACUUACUUCAGUAGAUAAUCUAAACGAGUUUGUAAUCCCGUAAGAGAAUCAAAGUGAGCAUUUGAUUCAAAUACUGAAAAGGAUUAUUAUGUCGUCUACAAUUCCAAUUAAGGAGAUUACUAAUCUUGACUAUCGGAGCAGUUGAAUGCACGAGUAGAGACACAGAUAUAUUCAUUUGUAGAAUAAUACAUUGGAUUAGACCCAAGAUGAAUUAAUUUUGAAUUCGUUUGUAAAUUAAUUUACUUGUGACAUUCAUGGUGUGAUUUACCUAAAUCCUAAGUUAGUCACAGACCAUGCGUAUGUAACUCAUGUGCUUUAAUAUAAGUGGAGGCUUAUGCUCUAAAGAUGAUUGAGACGAUAAUCGGUAUGUUGGGUACAUAACUUGUGAAUGGCAUGACUUUACUAGCAACAGUGGAAUUCAUAGCUCAAUUAAAGAGUUAACGAUAUCCUCUCAUUAGCAUUGCGUGGAUUGAUAAAUAUGAAACGUGGUCACAGGUUGCUAGUUCUUGAACGAGUAAUUUAUCAUAGCCAUUUGUUGAAAGUGGUCAUAUUAAUCAUUAAGAAGACACAAUGGUGACAAUGAGAUAAAAUAGGAUUGUAUUGAGUGAACGAAUUUAACUUAAAGGAAUUAAGGAUAUCAUAUGAGGGUAACACACACAUGACGAGGCCAUUGGACAAAGUAGUUGGAUGAAUUGCUUUCGUAAUUAUGCUUCUAGACAUAAUUGCAAUUACUAGAACUUAAUUGUAUAUGUCCGGCUGGUCUCUCCGUUAGGUCAACAAAAGCUCAUUUGGACUGCAUUUGAAUUAGAAGUAAAUUCCACGAGUUUGGAAAUAAUUUAAUUGAGUUGAUUUAUUUGAUGGGGGAAUUAAAUUGGGUGGGUGUAAGAUUUGUUCAACUAGAGAAUUUGAUUAAAGAAUUUUCUUAAAAAAAUAAUUUGGAAAAUCUAAGUGAUUUGUGGGAAAAUUAAUUUUGAUUAAGUAAAAUUAAAUUAAUCAAAUCAAUUAAAAUUAAUACGAUAUUUUUAGAAAUUAAUUUUUAAGUCAAAAAAUUGGCUUAAUGGGAAAUUCAAUUUGAAAAUUAGACCUAAGAUCGUAAAUUGGGCACGGGAACCCAAAACUGAGACCAAGACCCAAAAAUUGGUUGAACCGGGCAUGAUAUGUGAAACUGAGUCGAUGGUUCGACCGGUGGCUGAACUAGACCAGUCAAAUCGUCACUGGUUCGAAUCGAACCGGCAGAAAUCGAACCAGCUAGAGGUGCCAGUGGCUACGACGGCCACAUUCCGGUGGCCGAAAAAUGGUCGACGACAGAGAGUCUUCGGUGGUUAAGUAGUGGAAGAUUUACAUUCCUAUUGGGCCUCUACUAGAGAAUUUUGAUUUCAGAUUAACUAUUCCAAAAAUAAUAUUAUUUUAAUAGAUUUAAUAUUAAAUUUAAUUUAAUACUUAUCUUAAUAGUAUUUUAUUAAUUUAAUAUUAAAGUGAUUAUCUUAAUAUUAAAUAAAAUUUAAUAUUUAUCUUCUAGAUAAAUAUUCUAUUAAUUUAAUAAGAUUUAAUAUUAAUUUAAUUUAAUAUUAAAGUGAUUAAGUUUAAUAAUAAUUGAACUUUCUAAACUCUCCCUAUAUAAAGAGAGUCUUAGGUAAUUAUUUUUCACAUUUGAAUUCAAGAGAAAGUUGUAGAGAAAAUUCUCUAAAGAAAUUAUUUCAGAAAAUUUGUAGAGAUAUUUUUCUUAUUUACAACUCGACCCAAAAUUUUAGAGAAAUUGCGAAAUUACACUAGUAAUUUUUGUGAAAAAUUUUCUGAUUUGAAACGAGCCUACACUCGACAGACGUGACCUUUAAGAUAAUGGAGAAGACUACUCGGUCAAAGCAUUCAUCCUAGACGAAUUGAAAAUGUACAAUUUUAAUUAAGUCUUUAUUACUUUAGAUAUCACAACCAAGUUCUUGUUUUGGAAAAAAAAUUAAAACUCUAGUUUUUCCCUAAUUUUAUUUUCACCUGCGUUUUCCAAACCCGAUUUUUCAAGAAUUAGUAUCAUAACCGGGUUGUGCUCUAUCUAUAAGUAUAAAUAGAUAGCCAAAAUAAAUAUCUCUUCUUAUUGAAUGAUUUGAUUACAUAAAAAGUGACAUUAUUUAGAUCUUAUGCAUGCUUUGAGUUAUAUGGGCAUGGAUGCAAUAUUAUAUAUUUGUUAUAUAAUUGUUUUUUUUGCGAAGGUUUUGGUUCUUAGAAAAUAGACCGUGGGCUAUCAUCUCCACGUAGGACUGCUUUUUUUUUUAAUUCAUAGAAUUCUUAUGAGCCGAAAAUGGACAUAGGACUUAAAUGUAAUUUUUCCAUAAGGAGUCCAUGACGAGGAGAAGAUGGAGCGGUGGUGGUUGAAGACCCAAUGAAUGCUUUGUGGCAAAAAACUAUGUAAUUUUAUUUUUCUUUUAUUUUCUAGAAAUAGAAUCCGAAAAAUCUUGGCUGACAAUUUUAUUUUAAUUACCUAUCUCAUUAUGUAUUUGUUUUAUAAUUAUUUAUAAUAUAAUUGAUUCUUGUGAAUAAAUGAAUGUGAAUAUUAUAAAAUUAUCAUAGCAUACCAUCCAUAUGUUAGAAGCAUAUCAUAUAGAUUAGGUAAGAAUGCCACUACGACUAUUUUAUAAUCAUUCUUGAAAUAUGAGAUAAAAAAACAUUGCAUGUUAUUUUAAAAUAUUAAGUGGGAGAAGAUCCUUGAACAAGACCUACGACCUCCAUUGUAACACCCAAAACUCAGCUUGGACGUCCAAACCAAGUCUAGAUAAUUACAUCAUCAAUCUUAAAAUCUCACAGUUAUAACGUAAUAACACAAAACCAUUCAUCAUAUAUUAGCCAGCACAUGGUUAAUUAAGUAUGCAAUUUCCAAAAACAUCAUAUUAUCAUAAAAUACAGAAAGCCCUAAUAGUAAUUAUUAAACAAAAGGCUAAAUCUUGACCGAGCUCCUGCAAUGCUAACCCAUUCAAGUUUGUGAACCACCUACAAUUCAAUCAGAAAAUAAAUGAGUUGUGAACUAAAUAUAUAAAAGAAGGUUCAUACAAGUGUAAUACAAUUGAAAGAUCAUUCUUGAAUCUCGGUGAUGUGAUCCGGCCCGGAUUAAUUGAGUCGUUUCACGUAAUUGCCCGAUCGUCGACGAGGAAUAGUUGAGUUAUUGGAAAUAGGAUGAAAUAAGGCUAAAGAUGCGGAAGCUUUCAAAUGGUUUUAAAGGUUGGCUAAGGUGAUGGUAAAUUUAUAAGGGUAGUAGGCUCGAUUUAAGGAUAAAAAUAAGAAAAAUGGAAGUUGAUAAAUGAAGGCUCGGUUUUGUAAAAAAGAUAUUAUAGUUGGGUAAAAUCUAGGAUAGUCGGUGGAAUGGAUAAAUGAGCUUAAACGCCAGAAACGAUUCAACACUAAAAAGUGUCACCCCGAUUUCUAUUCGGUUCAAGGUGGGAUUGCGGAAUUGUAGAAGGGUUGAACGCCACACCAAAGCAAGGUGACAAGUUCAAAAGAGAACGAUAGACGCCACUAGCACGCUAGAUAAGUCAGAUCGAAACUCGUACGAAUUUAGAGAGGAGAAAACUCACUCUUUGAACAAAGUUCAUUCAAAUGAUCAAAAGUCAAAAGUCCUUUUUACAUGUUUGAACUCGAAAUUUAUAGCCAAAUAAGGGCUAGCCGAAUGGACAAAAUACUUGGCUGAAAUUCCAUCUCUAAAUUCACUUAAUUAAGCUUAAAAUUCUAAGUUGCUUCCUAAUGCAUUUGGGAGGUCAAAUUCAGCUUCUAGAUGCCUUGAAAUUCGGCUGGAGAAAAUUUGAAGCCUUGGUUGCUGAAUGGUUCAUGUAAAGUCGGCCUAGGGAGUGAAGCUUGGCCUUAAUUGCGGCUCCUUGAUCAGCUAAACAGAUUGGACUUCUUAAAAUUCAGAUUGGGUUCUCCAACCGAUCUUAAGUGUGAACUGAGGGAAAUAAUCAGCCCUUAUGUGUGAACACACGAAAAUGAAAGGACUUAGGGUGUGAAAGGAACAAUUUCGGCUGGUGGAGCUUUAAAAAUGCGUUGGUGAGCUGAAUAAUCAGCUUAGAAAAUUGCAACGGUAGCCUCCUCUUUUUAAUGCUAUCCCAAGUCCCAUGCACACACUAAAUUCGGCUGUUGGGAAAAUACAACAGCAACUUUCGCUUUAAAUGCCGUCCCAAGUCCCAUGCACUCAAUAAAUUCGGCAACUUUGGAAAAAUGCAGUAGCCACCUUUUCUUUAAAUGCCGUCCAUGUACCUGCACCUAUUAAAGUCAGCCAUUAACUCUCAUUUUAAGACAAAUUAAAAGGGAACAAUAAGACUUAUUAAAUUCGGCAGCCACAUGGUCAACAAGGCAUAAUAAAUUCGGCAGCCAUUAAGACAAUUUAUCCAUGCUUUUAAUUUCGGCUGGAACUAUGACAUGUUUAACAUUCUGCAUUUAAACAACAGCAGCAUUAAACAACAGCAGCAAAACACAUUAAUUAACAGCAUUAAAUUCGUCCAAAGUACACAAUAUCCUGCACAUUAAAUUCGUCUGGAAAAAUUAAUUGACAACAUGAAUUAAAUUUGUCUUAAAUUUAGACACACUUAAUUAACUAUUAGACAUCUAUUUAAUAGGUAAUAAACUAAGACACAUUAAAAUAAAAAUGUCCAGAUUUUUAAACAAAUUAAUUAACUUAUUUAAUUAACUAAUCAGCAACUUAUUUAUUCCAUCAUCUAAAUGCAAACUUAAUUAAAUAAAUUGCAUUCUAGCUCCAUAAGCUAGAAUCCGCCCAAAUUGAGCUGGGACGAGCUUGUGAGAAUAACGAGCCUCGCUCGUGAGUCGAGCCAAGAAAUGUUUCCAGGGCAGGGUCGUAUCAUCCCCCCUUCUGUGAAGUGACUUGUCCUCAAGUCGAGCUGUUGGUUCAUUCGAUCAUAACUCCGCUUACUCAUCUUUCCUCGAUCAAAUGGAACGAAUGACAAUUGAAGCAACUGAAAAGAAUAUCCAUGAGUUAGCAAAAAGCAGUGCAAACAAAUUUGCAAUUCGAGUAUAACAAGACAAAUGUAAUGCAAGCUAUUGGAAAGAUUCAGAUUACCAUGCAAGCGAACUAGUUUACUCGACAAGGCCAUGAAAAAUGUUCGAAACAAAAUCGAAUAGAUUUCUGGGCAUGCAUACAUCUUAAAUUGAUUACACAAGCUAUAAUUGAAUCCCGAGUAGUGAGUCAAAAUAUGUACAUAGGCAUCACAAACAGGUAAUGAAAAAUAUUUACAUGGUUCUCGAAGUUGCACAAUCAUACCGUGCAUUAGACGAUUGACUAUCGAUUCUAUUACAAUUACAUCAACACAAUUAUCAAAAACAAGAAUUUUUUUGUCACCAUUAAAAUUAGAUAGAUCGUGUUCAAUUGAGGCAAAACAAUUAACCAUAUCACAAUCAAAGUAUCUUUCAAAAACCAAUUCACGAACAAGAUUGUUAUUACCAUCCAAGGAAAUCAAAAAUAUUUUAGAAAUUUCAGGAGGCUUACCUUUCGGAGCAGGAAAAUAAAGUUCAUUUUUACCUCGCUCGCUUAACAAAAACCUUCGCUCCUCGGCAAUGUAGAGUAGUCGAAAUUCCUUGCUUGAAUUAACCUUUUCAAAUUGAAUCUCCAUACUCGACAAUAGAGCAUGCUUCAUAAUCAAAUUGGAAUUAUAAUCAAAAUACAUCGAGAACUCAUCCAAAUGAUUAUGUAAUCGAAAUUUCAGUCGGUCAAUUUUGCUCAAAAAUGCGGAAUUUGGAUAACAAAGCAGAUUUGAGGCACCAUCUUCAACUUUAAGUGCACUAACCAUUUUACAUGUCAUCGUCAUAUCAAACAAACAAAUCAAAGACAUGCAUGUUUUCAAGCAUUCAUACGUCUCAAAUCUCAUACGCACAUUCUUGUUUAUACAAAGUAGUUUCUCACAAAAGAUCAAUGAGUGCAUAUUUUUACCCAAAUCAAGCCGAUGGAAUGGCUUAUAUGUCUUUUUAUCUUGCAAAUGCCGAAUAAUUAUUAUUUUACUAACAAACUCAUCAGCAUCGCAAUUUCCAAAAGCGUUAUUCUUCUUGCCAUCAUUCCGCGCAAAUGUAUUAUCAUCAAUCAAAGGAUGGCAAGUAACCACAUCAAAGUUCAGAUCACUUCUAAAGGACAAUUCAUCAACAAGGUUUCUAUCAACAAUCGAAUAAAACAGAGGUGCUUUAAGAAUUUCAAAACUCAUACCUCGCUCCUCUUUUGGCAUAGGCGAACUAAGAUAGUUGAGAACGUUACCUUUUUCAACCAAGGUGAACCUUCUCUCCUUGGAAAGGUAUUGGAGUUGUAAAUUAUCGUCACUCGGCCUUGUGGAUACCUGAAAAACAGAAACAGAACAAGAACAAGUUUUAUAUGGAUUAGUUGAAAUGCUCCUCACUUUUUCUAGUUCAUUUGUCUCUUUUUCGCUCGUUUCUUUUUUAAUCUCAACUUCUUUUUUUCUCUUUUCAUUUCCUCUCUCGUUUUCAAUUUUAUUUUCGACCUCACUCUCUUUUUUGAUUUCUUUUUCUUUUUCAAUCUCUUUUUCUUUUCUUUUGAUUUCUUUUUCUCGCUCGCACUCUUGUACAAUCUCAAUUUCUUUUUCAAAUUCUUUCUCUUCAUUUUCUUUUUCUCUCACUUUUUCGAUUUCAUUACAAUGUGCAUUCGACACGAAAGAAUCAAAAAUAUAAUCAUUUGCCCCAAAGGAAGAGAAAAUAUUUUCAUAGGCUUCUCGUCCAUUUCUUCGGGAACAAUCCUCCGGGAAGGACUUCUUUGAAUCAUACGAUGAAUAACUCGUCCUCUCUCGUUUGUCAUGUCGAGAAGUUGCAAGCUCUAGGCUGUUGCGUCUUGAAUUCCUUAACGAAUAGGAAUCCCGAUAAGAAUCUCUUAGCGAGUAGUCUUUGGACGCGUAUCGCCGCAAUGAUCUCGACUCCAUUUCUCGAUUUGGUAGAUUUUGUUUUCGUCUGGCUCUUUCCUCCACUCGAUCCAAUCGAUCAUGCAAUUUAUCAAAAUUUGAUUUCACCAUUCUACGUAUCUCUUGCUUCAAAUAUUGGAAAUCUGAUUCGGAAAAUUCUUGUGACAUGAUUUUUUUUGCUAAAAAAAUGAUUAAAAUAAAAUAGAAAGUAAAUACCUCACCACAAAAAUCUCACGUUUCACUCACAAAGAAAAUUGGAUAACACUCCACUCGUGUUUACACUUGUUUAAUGGCUUUUGCUCGCUCUAAUGUACUCACCACUCGUGCCUUUUUUCGCUCGUCUCACUCUCGUGAAUUCGUAUUUUGUUUCAAGAAGACUUAUUGCGGCUUAGAGGGUCGGCUUCAAAUGGGUUACAAGGGAUAACGUCGGGUGUAAGGUAGGCUAAACAAAGAAAAUAAAAAUCAAAGUAUGUGUGGCGUUUUGGGGGGGGUAGAGGGAAUGGUAGAAUGAAUGGAUGCUCGGAAGCAACAAGAAACAAAAUAAAACUCACAAGACUUUUCACUUUUUUUAUUAUACUUCAAAAAAAAAUUUUUGAAUUUUUUUUUUGAAUUUUUUUUUCAAAUUUCCUCUUCUCUUUUUUUUUGAUUUUUUUUUCAAUUACAAUAUGCUGAAAUACAAAGGAAGAAGAGAAAAAAAAAUUACAACCUAAAUUUUUUUUUCACGUUACGAACCUACUCCGAGCUUGGUACGAACGUCGGCAUUCCUCGUUUUAGUAGCUCUGAUACCAGAUGAUGUGAUCCGGCCCGGAUUAAUUGAGUCGUUUCACGUAAUUGCCCGAUCGUCGACGAGGAAUAGUUGAGUUAUCAGAAAUAGGAUGAAAUAAGGCUAAAGAUGCGGAAGCUUUCAAAUGGUUUUAAAGGUUGGCUAAGGUGAUGGUAAAUUUAUAAGGGUAGUAGGCUCGAUUUAAGGAUAAAAAUAAGAAAAAUGGAAGUUGAUAAAUGAAGGCUCGGUUUUGUAAAAAAGAUAUUAUAGUUGGGUAAAAUCUAGGAUAGUCGGUGGAAUGGAUAAAUGAGCUUAAACGCCAGAAACGAUUCAACACUAAAAAGUGUCACCCCGAUUUCUAUUCGGUUCAAGGUGGGAUUGCGGAAUUGUAGAAGGGUUGAACGCCACACCAAAGCAAGGUGACAAGUUCAAAAGAGAACGAUAGACGCCACUAGCACGCUAGAUAAGUCAGAUCGAAACUCGUACGAAUUUAGAGAGGAGAAAACUCACUCUUUGAACAAAGUUCAUUCAAAUGAUCAAAAGUCAAAAGUCCUUUUUACAUGUUUGAACUCGAAAUUUAUAGCCAAAUAAGGGCUAGCCGAAUGGACAAAAUACUUGGCUGAAAUUCCAUCUCUAAAUUCACUUAAUUAAGCUUAAAAUUCUAAGUUGCUUCCUAAUGCAUUUGGGAGGUCAAAUUCAGCUUCUAGAUGCCUUGAAAUUCGGCUGGAGAAAAUUUGAAGCCUUGGUUGCUGAAUGGUGCAUGUAAAGUCGGCCUAGGGAGUGAAGCUUGGCCUUAAUUGCGGCUCCUUGAUCAGCUAAACAGAUUGGACUUCUUAAAAUUCAGAUUAGGUUCUCCAACCGAUCCUAAGUGUGAACUGAGGGAAAUAAUCAGCCCUUAUGUGUGAACACACGAAAAUGAAAGGACUUAGGGUGUGAAAGGAACAAUUUCGGCUGGUGGAGCUUUAAAAAUGCGUUGGUGAGCUGAAUAAUCAGCUUAGAAAAUUGCAACGGCAACCUCCUCUUUUUAAUGCUAUCCCAAGUCCCAUGCACACACUAAAUUCAGCUGGUUGGGAAAAUACAACAGCAAUUUUCGCUUUAAAUGCCGUCCCAAGUCCCAUGCACUCAAUAAAUUCGGCAACUUUGGAAAAAUGCAGCAGCCACCUUUUCUUUAAAUACCGUCCAUGUACCUGCACCUAUUAAAGUCAGCCAUUAACUCUCAUUUUAAGACAAAUUAAAAGGGAACAAUAAGACUUAUUAAAUUCGGCAGCCACAUGGUCAACAAGGCAUAAUAAAUUCGGCAGCCAUUAAGACAAUUUAUCCAUGCUUUUAAUUUCGGCUGGAACUAUGACAUGUUUAACAUUCUGCAUUUAAACAACAGCAGCAUUAAACAACAACAGCAAAACACAUCAAUUAACAGCAUUAAAUUCGUCCAAAGUACACAAUAUCCUGCACAUUAAAUUCGUCUGGAAAAAUUAAUUGACAACAUGAAUUAAAUUUGUCUUAAAUUUAGACACACUUAAUUAACUAUUAGACAUCUAUUUAAUAGGUAAUAAACUAAGACACAUUAAAAUAAAAAUGUCCAGAUUUUUAAACAAAUUAAUUAACUUAUUUAAUUAACUAAUCAGCAACUUAUUUAUUCCAUCAUCUAAAUGCAAACUUAAUUAAAUAAAUUGCAUUCUAGCUCCAUAAGCUAGAAUCCGCCCAAAUUGAGCUGGGACGAGCUUGUGAGAAUAACGAGCCUCGCUCGUGAGUUGAGCCAAGAAAUGUUUCCAGGGCAGGGUCGUAUCACUCGGGAUCUGAUUAAGCAAUGAAAGUCUUUCCAGUUUAGAUACAGAACAGUUCAAGUAUAGAAGCAGAAGCGGUUUCAGUUUCAUUUACAGAACAAAUCAGUUUCAUAUGCAAGUUUUCCUACCCCCAGCCUCUACACAUCAUCUUCGACCAACCUAACACACCAAUAAGGGCAUUCAACGCCUGUCCAACCUACACACCUUAGGGUAUCUAUUUGACAUGUUUACAGAGUUGCAGCUUAACUGCUAAAUCAGAAUGCGUCUAAGUGCCAGAUUUAAAGCUAUCAGCAUUGUGGCUUAGCCACUAAUUCGGAUCAGAGUACUUCCUUCUUCACAGUAUCCCGACCCAUGCAUAUGCAGUGUACACAUACCCACAGGGAUGGUUGUCUUUUUUCUAUUAAUGUCGGUGCAAUAACUAGAUAAAAAUGAGAUAAAUUGUAAGAAUAGUUGUUGAUGCAAUAAUUUGAAAACAAUAAAAUCAAAUAUGGUACUGAUAAACUAGGAUCCCCAACAUGAAUCUUCAGUAGAAUACUAAGUGCUCAUAAGGUAUAAAAGGAUAGGUAAUUGUCGAGACAAUAAAAUUCAAUGUAUAUCUUACCAAGCAUCACUCAUCUAUUUAAUCUAAGACUUAAACAUGCACAUUAACCCAACCUUCCGAUGAUGGCAACAUGGCACUAUUAAGAAAAAGUGGACUAAAUUCCUCUAUUCCUCACUCAACUUCCAUUGUAAUGUUUGUUGGCUCGAACUAUCACUGCACUUUCCAGUGUCAGUGACUACAAUAACACUUCCGUGUUAAGAAACAUUCAAACCCCACGAUUAAACAAUAAAAGCAAGAUUGAAUAAGAUAACAUUUAACCAAGAAUUCAUCUGUACUUCCAUACAAACAGAAAACAGAGAGUAAUCACCAGCAUUUAGAAAGAAAUAAGAAAGAAUCGAGUGGAGAAUACUAUUUCUAGACAAAUCGACUGAAUCUCCCUAUUCCCUCUUGUCUCUUACUUAGGUCUCCUCAUCAGAAGCUAAUCUGCAUCAAUUUGCAUGUUGGCUCACCCGUGAGAGGCUUAAGCUGUCAAGCUUCAAGGUAAGAUGAAGAAGAUGAUGGUCAAGAACAAGCUUCCCCUUUUUUCUCACGUCAACCUUUUAUGUCCUCCUCCUCCUCUAACAGUACAAGUGUCCUUUCCUCAGAAUUAUUCUGUCCUUGUACGUACAGGUUGGUUAUACCGGACUAGACAGCUCACGUAUUUUUAGUUCUUAUCUGAACAGCUAUCAUGUGCGAUGAAAUUUCUGGAUGCAAUCUGGAAUAACUCAUGCAGCGACAUUAAUGCAAAAAGAUAGCAAAAUUAAAGAUAAAAUAGGUUAGGAUUCACUGAGUUAUAAAACAAUAUUUACUAAACUAAAAAUGCUAAAAUAUAUGCUAAGGAUAACUAAAUGGGAACAAUUUAACGAAUAGGUAAGCAGGAAAACCUAUGUUCUUUGUGCUAUCAACGAGUUGUGAAAAUGGGUCUGCUCACACAAGCUGUGGAGUAUUCGCAACACAUGCCGGACCACAAUCAUCGAUAGGACAUUCAAGACUAGCACUUGAAUCAUGUAAACCCUAGUGACUUGUCAUUUGCAUCCUACGAAUUCUUAAUGUUCAAACGGGGCUCGGUAGUUGUCGAAAUAUUGUCGGAUUUCCAUCAUCCAUUUACUCAAUAAAUUGUAUAAAAUAACACAUAUAUAUUGAUUCAAUCACAAAAGAAUCACAUACUAACAUUUAAUUAAUCAGCAUUAUAUAGAAUUUAGUUCAUAUGAACUUACUUGGCAAAAUUGCAGAAAUGUCAAAAUAUAGGGACAUUUUGGUAAUUUUCUAUUUUCCUCAAUUUUCUACCUAAUCUUGAUCUAAAUUAAUAAUUUCAUUUAACCUAUUAAUUUAGACAAUAAAAUAAUAUAUUUUAUGCAAUUUAGUCAUUUUUAACAUUUUUAAAAAAUUUCUCCUAAAGUUUUACUUUUAUUUAAUUUAGUCUUUGGGCCCAAAACAUGCAAAUUAACCAUUUUUUAUGUCAAUUUGUAAUAGCCAAAUAUUCAUGGCACCCAUAUCAGCCCAUAUUUGUAACAAUUUCACAUCAAAUCCUUGUACUUUUACUAUUUUAAUAAUUUAGUCUCUAAUCAAAAAAUUCAUCAAAAAUCACUUAAUAAAAUACUAGAAAUCCAGUACGGUGUGCAAACUUAUAGACUUACCGGUUGGGAUUAAACCCAUAAGGUGUAAGUUGAUCUACAAGAAGAAGAGAAAUGUGGAAGGGAAACUGGAAACGCAUAAAGCUAGACUUGCAUGGAAAGGCUACACAUAGAAAGAAGGCAUCGAUUACGAUGAGAUCUUCUUUCCAGUAGCCAUGCUCAAGUCUAUCCACAUUCUCUAAUCCAUUGUCGUUGUUCUCAAUUACGAGAUCUAGAAAAUGGAUGUCAAGACAACAUUCUUGAAUGAUUGUUUUCAUCAGACCAUUAUAUGAUUCAACCCACUGGCUAUGUUGUCAAAAGAAAGAAAGAGAAAGUUUGCAAACUACUAAGAUCCAUUUAUGGACUUAAGCAAGCAUUCUGCUAAUGGAAUAAAAGAUUUGAUCAAACGAUCAAUACUUUUGGGUUUGAGCAAAACACUAAUGAACCUUGUUUUUAUAAAUGUAUAAAAGACGAAAAGGUGGACUUCCUUAUUUUGUAUGUCGAUGACAUUCUACUUAUAGGAAAUGAUGUAGGAGGAUUGUCAUCAGUUCAAUUAUGGUUAGAUAAACAUUUUAGCAUGAAUGACUUGGCUAAAGCUAGUUAUAUUCUUGGAAUUCGAAUCAUUAAUGAUUGAAAGAAUAAAAUGAUAGCUCUAUCAUAAGCUUCAUACAUCGAUAAGGUAUUAGAACGUUUUGCAAUGACCAAUGCGAUUCUUUAGAUGAUUGUCUUAAGACAACAGAAGAAAGAUAGCAUGUGAGUAAGGUUCCAUAUGCUUCAGCAGUUGCAAGCCUUAUUUAUGUGAUGCUUUACACACAUCCAAAUAUUUUUUUCCCAGUAGAAAUGGUUAGCCGAUAUCAGGCGAAUCCUGGCUUAGGCACUGGCAAGAUGCAAAGCAUAUAUUAAGGUAUAUUUAAAAAAAAAUAGGGAUUAUAUGCUUGUGUAUUCUAGGGAGAACCUUACUCCUAUUGGAUACGUAAACUUAGACUUCCAAACCUAUAAAAAUUUGAGGAAAUCAACAUUGGGAAAUGUAUUCGUCCUAGGCCAUGGAGCCAUAGUAUAGAGAAGUGUAAAAUAAACUUACAUUGCUGACUCUACUAUAAAGGCCAAGUAUGUGGUUGUUUCUGAGGCAACGAUUUUUAACCAAUCUUGAAGCCAUUCCUGGUAUGGAAAAAGCUAUAUCAUUGCAUUGUGAUAAUAGUGCUGCAAUAGUUAAUACUAAGGAAAUGAGAAGUCACAAGUGUUCGAAACACAUUGAUCGAAAGUAUCACUUGAUAUGAGAGGCAGUAGCUGAAGGAAUUAUAGAUGUGGUGAAAGUAGGUUCUGAAGAUAACCUUGUGGAUCUGUUUACUAAGACUCUUGUAACUAAGAGUUUUGAUAAACACGUCGAGGAUAUGGGAAUGCGAAACAUGACACUAGGGUAAGUAGGAGAUUUUUAGGAAAUGUGUCCAAAUUCUAGUAAAUAUGUAAUUAUUUCCUAUGUAUUUGAAUGAUGAAUAAAUAAAUAUCACAUUUCACUAUUAUGUCUUUUGUAUUUCUGUCUUUCAUAUUUUGUAUGCAUAGAAAAAUUGUAGCAAAUAAAUAUUAGCUCAUUGAUUGUCUAAGUUCAAACUAAUGAUAAGUGGCAUUGUAAGAACAUUUACAUUACGAGAAAAACAACUUACUUUAGUAGAUAAUCUAAACGAGUCUGCAAUCCCAUAAAAGAAUCAAAGUGAGCAUUUGAUUCAAAUACUGAGAAAGAUUAUUAUGACGUCUACAAUUCUAAUUGAGGAGAUGACUAGUCUUAGCUAUCGGAGUAGUUAACUCCACGGGUAGAAAUAUAGAUGUAUUUAUUGGUAGAAUGAUACAUUGGACUAGGCCCAAAUUAAUUCUUAAUCCGUCUGUGAAUUAAUUCACUUGUGACAGACAUGGUGUGGUUUACUUAAAUCCUGAAUUAGUCACUGACCAUGUGUAUGUAACUCAUGUGCUUUAAUUUAAGUGGAGGCUUAUGCUCUAGAGAUCAUCGAGUUGAUAGCCAGUAUGUUGGGUGCAUAACUUGUGUAUGACAUGACUUUACUAGCAACAAUGAAAUUUAUAGCUCAAUUAAAGAGUUAACAGUAUCCUCUCAUUGAUAUUGUGUGGAUUGAUAAAUAUGGAACGUUGCCACAGGUUGCUAGUUCUCAAUCGAGCAAUUUAUCACAAUCAUUUGUUGACAGUGAUCAUAUUAAUCAUUAAGAAGACACAAUGGUGACAAUGGAUAAAUAAAAUUGUAUUGAGUGAACAAAUUUAACUCAAAUGAAUCAAGGAUAUCAUAUGAGGGUAACACAUACAUGACUCCAAAUAUGUUUGACUAUUUCUAAAAAGUGACAUGAAAGUUUAUUUUAACCCAAGGUAAGUUCGGCGGUCUCCAUCACUCCUCAUCUAUCCUCUGCCCAGGUAUUUUAUUGUUUACUCAAUCCCAGUUGCUAAGAUAUGCCUUAGUAAACUAUAUAGUUUCUAAUGCUGAUUGAUGAAAUCCCUCGUACAAGGCCUUAUUUCAACCUGUCCAUAUGGCCCAAAUGCUACAGAAUAGAAGCGUUUUUUGAUAAAAUGAGCUUCUGGUAAGUACUUCCCCUAUCCACUGCCGAAAACUUUCUACCGUUACCCCCUAACUUUCUAGAACUCCUAGCUCAACCCAAACUUCUUUAACUGUAGGGCGAUGUUUGAACCUAUGUUAUAUCAUCUCUGUUCCAUUUUUACACCUUUGACACACAUCUGAGUUGCACACCCAUCUAUAUUUCAAGUUGCUAAAAGUUGGAAUAUAAUUGUUGUAAAUCCUCCUGUUUGUAAUUUUGAUUUUUUUUUGGCUAGUCUGUUUGCCAUAGGUGUUUUAGAACAAUUUUGUCUAUAAUUUCAAUUGUAUCAACAUCUAGCCUAAAUCUCUCUUUCAAUAGCCUUCUUCAACCGAUCCUCACUGUAUACUCUUCUGUUGGCUCCCCACUUCAUACUUUACAGUUCUUUCUUGGAUAUCGCUCCUAUUUGUAAUGUCAAGAUAGCUUCUACCUCUUCCCUUGUAAACAAAGAGGUAACAAGGUCCUCCUUCCACUGUCUCAGAUUUGAUUUAAUCAAUUUAGCCACCUUAACUAUAUUGUGAUAUUAACUGACUCAUAGAUUUCCUGAUCUUUCAACCCAGGGAUCCAAGCAUCCUCCCAGAUGGAUAUACAAUGACCGCUACCCACUCUCCAAGCCAUUCCAUUCUUCAACAGUUUCUUCGUCAUCUAUACACUCCUCCAAGUAUAAGAAGGGUAAUUACCUAACUUUGAAUUCAUGAAAUCGACAUUCGGGAAAUAUUUUGCUUUCAAAGUUGUAGCUAAUAACGAAUGUGGGUAAUUCAUUAAAUGCUAGCUUUGUUUUGCAAGAAGGGCCAAAUUAAAUUUAGAUAAGCUCCUAAACCCCAUUCCCCCAUCCUCUUUUAGUUCACAUAGUUUAUUCCAAUUGCACCAAUGAAUCCCCUUCCGUCCUUUUUUUUCUGCCAUAAGAAUUGACUUAUAUCCUGUUCCAUAUCAUGACAUAAAGAAUUCGGUAAUAAAACACAAGGCAUAACAUAAGUUGGAAUCGAUUGCAAUACACUCUUAAUAAAAAAUUCAUUCUCUCCUCGGGAAAGAGUUUUAACAGACCAAUUAUUUAUUCUUUCUGUAAUCCUCUCUUUCAAACCAUGACUGGUCUAUCACUUCUACCUCCCUACAACAUUCGGGAGCCACAAGUACUUCUCAGGAUUCAUCAAACAAUGCACCCUCAAUAAUUGAACUACCGAAUCUUUUGCCUGCACAGAACUAUUUGAGCCAAAAAAAUAGUGUUGAUUUCUUCAAACUCUGCCCUGAGUAUUCUUCAUACUUUUUCAAAAUCUUUUUCGUCUCAUUUGCUCCCCCUUCUGUAGCUUCACCAAAUUAAAUACAAUCAUUUGCAAAGAGUAGAUGAGUAAUCUCAAGACCCCUUUAUUCUCCCAUCCCCUUUCGCUAUUUUCAUCGAUGUCGAUAACCUCUCCCAAAAAUAAAAAAUAGAUAAGGACUUAAUGGAUCCCCUUGUCUAAGACCUCUUGUCGGUUUGAAUUUUUCUCACAUCUCUCCAUUAAAGCAUACUAAGUAUGACACUAAAGAAAUAAAUGACAUAAUUAAAUCCACCCACUCCUUCUCAAAACUCAUUUACAGCAUCAUCUCAUACAAGAAACUCCACUCAACCCUAUGAUAAGCCUUACUCAUAUCUAAUUUGAGCGCAAAAGAUCCCUUCUUACCAAUUCUCCUCUAUUUUAAACUAUGCAAAAUCUCAUAGGCCAAUAGCACAUUAUUUGUUAACAUUCUUCCUGGAAUAAAAGCACUUUGUGCUUCAUCAAUACAACUUCCCAAUACUUUUUGGAAACGAUUCGCCACAUUUUUAAUAUAAUCUUAUAGAGGAUCGAACAAAGGCUAAUAGGCCUAAAAUCUUUCAAACUAUUUGGCCGAGAAGUUUUUAGGAUUAAAACAAUAAGAGUAGAGUUAAUGGAUUCCAAUGAAUUACCUCAAUUUAGAACAUUAAUACAAUAACUCUCCACAUCUUUACCCAUAAUAUGCCAAAACUUUUGGAAGAAAAGUGCUGGAAAGCCAUCCUUCCCGGUAGCCUUCAAUGGAGUGAUCUCUUUCAAAACUAUUUGGAUCUUAUCAAUUUUAUAGAUCUUCUUCAAUUCUUGAUUUAUAUCCACUGUAAUACAUCUAUUAACUCCUUCCAAGCCACCCUCCAACCCCUCUGCCCUACUUGAUUUGAAUAAUUUUGAAAAGUACUCCUUCACGAUCCCUACCAUCUCAUCCUUAUCUGUAGUAAUUGAAUUAUUCUCCUUCUUGAGUUUCAUAAUAUGGUUGAUUCAGCGUCUUUAGGAUGCGGACUGCUAAAAAAAUGUUGUAUUGCGAUCUCCCAUCUUUAACCAGUUAUCCAUUGAUCUUUACUCUCAAUAAAGCUCUUCUUUAUCUUUCUCCAAGUUAAGGUCCAAUUUCAAACCAAUCAGGUUUUCGAUUACCUCAUUCAUGCGAUCCUCCUCAUUCAGCUCAGCCACCCUCCUUUCCAACCCCCUUCUCAUUCCCACCUUUUUUUUCCUUUCAAAUGAUUAGCCCAACUUUAGAGACCCUUUCCCAAAAAUGCAAGUUGAUUAGGCACAUCCCCACCAAUAUUUUCUCACAAGUAUCAAAUUUCCUCCUCACGCGAGCCCUCCAACAACCACCACUGUUCGAACUUAAACCUCUGAGCUUUUGACCACGCUUCAACGUGAUUUGUCUCCAAUAAUAUUGGGCAAUGAUCCGAAAAAGAAUGUCCCAGAUGUUUGACUCUAUUAUUUGAGAAGAGAGUCCACCAAUCCAUAUUUGCAAUUUAAUCGAUCUAGACGCUUCCUGAUAUUAUUCUCUAUAAAAUUCCCUCAUUCCCAAGUGAACCACGAAUUUAUAAUGUAACACCCUAAACCCGACUUAGACGUUAUAAUCGGAGCUUAAGGAAUUACAUUAAAUUGUUUGAAAACUUUACUUAGUUGUGCAUUUCAAAAGCAUAAAAUUUGGCAGAACUCUCACAAAUGUUUAGGAAAACUUAAGUUUGGAAACACUUAUUUCAAACCCAAAAUUCAAAAGUAUCAAUUUUGGGCAAAUCAUUUCCAAUUGACGCUAACUUUUGCUAAAAACUAUUUAUUUAUAGAAAAACACUUAGGUGAUUACUUAAUUAUACAACAGAAAACUUUCAAAAUUUUAGUUUUGAAAUCUGAAUCUUAGUUUGUUAACUGGUGCGGUUUUUUUUUUCAAUUUUUAUGUUUAAUAAUAUCAAAUACUGACAAAUAAAAUAUAAACCAUAUCAAAGCCCAAAAAUGGAUUACAGUCCCAAAAGUUUAGAUAAAUUACUAAUGUAAAUCACCAUAUUUAAUUAGUCGAGAAAACAAUCUAAGCUCCCAUACGUCGUCUGGUCCUAAAUCCAAAGAUCACCUAAAACAUAUUAAACAAACGAGUGAGUUGGAAGCCUAGUGUGUGACUCAGCCCAUAAACAGAAUUUUCUUAUAACAUACACAAAUGUAAAUACCAACACAAAAUUUUACUUAUAAUGUUCACAUAUACGAAUAUCAUAUCAGAAUAUCACAUUACCAAAAACAUAUAUCAAACCAGAAUGUCAUAUUUCCAUAAACAUAAACUAGAUCAGAGUGUCAUAUUUUCAUAAAUAUAUAUCAUAUCAGAAUGUUAUAUCAGAUCAAAACAAAUCAUACCCUCAUUCGCUACACACCAUCUCCGUCCAACCAAUCACACCAAAAAGGACAACAAAAAUCCAUUCAUCCAAUCACACCAGGUUGUGGUGGUAUGCCACUCAUAAUGGUGCAAUUGAGCUACCAAACACAUAUUGUGGUUUAGCUGCCAAAAUUGCUAUAAUACUGCCUCAACACACUUCCUCUAUCAUUAAAACCCACCCCAAUGCACAUGCAAAAUCGUAAUAACAUACGUUCAUAUCACAUAGUCGAAUUAGAUAUCAUAUCAGAAUGGAUAAGAGAAUACAUAUGUCACAUAUGCAUUACAAAAAUAGUCAUGCUUUCAAAUUUACCAACACAUAUAUUAUACAUAUAGCUCUCUUAUCAAACGUAUCAACGCAUAUACCUCAUUUCGGGUCUUUUUUAAGUAAAAUGAACCCCACGGAGGGUCUAAUUACGAACUACAAAUCAAAUCAGCCCUAAAUGAAAAUUCCAAAAAAAUGGGUCACACACCUGUGUGGUUUCACAAGACCCAGAUGAUUGUGAUAAAUUGCUUGUUUGAGAACAAACAACAUGUGGCCACGUUCCAUAUUUAUCAAUCCACACAAUGCCAAUGAGAGGAUAUUAUCCACUCUUUAAUUGAGCUAUGAAUUCCACUGUUGCUAGUAAAGUCAUGUCAUACUGUUGCUAGUAAAGCCAUUCCACUGUUGCUACAAUAUGGGCACAUUUCCCAACAAAAGAAAUGUCAGAUUUUUGGGAAAAUUAAUUAAUUAAAAUCCCUAUAUUUUUUAAACUACCCACUACCCCCACUCACUCCCACUAAUUCUGAUUAGUUAUCUUUAUUAGAAUUUUCCCCAGAGUUUAAAACAAAAUAAUUCCACUUUGCACAUACAAAAUUCGAACACAAGACCCUAGUAAGCUAAAGCCUUACCACUGAAUCAACAGGCUCAAUAUUGUCAAAACUUGUACAUGAAUUAAAUUUAAGCCAAAUAUAAAGAGAUAGAGAUAACGUAAAAAAUAGAAAAAUUCUAAAAAGAGAGAUUUGAACACAGGACCUCAACCACACAUUCAAAGCACUUAUCCACUGAAACAGAUCAAUUCACUUGACAAAAUUCCUACAACAUUAAUUCAAAAACAGAACGUAAUAACUCUUGGUUUCACAAACUCAAUUUCUUCUAACUCAAUUUUUGAUAUGUGACAUACAAACCCCAAAUCUUCUAGUUAACAAUGUUCCAAAGUUUCUCUAAAUGCCUCCAUUCUCCCUCUCUCCCUUACCGCACCCCUUUCUUCUCAAAAGAAUAAAGAAUCUCGUUAAAGUCCCCCCAACCAACCAUGGAAAGCUCUGAUCUUGUCCUAAAGCCUUCAAAAGGUUCCAAGUUUCCUCCUUCAAAUGACCAUCAAGAGAACUAUAAAACCCGUAAACCUCCACUUCUCAUUUGCACCCUCCUCCUCCACAUCCACAUCAAUAUGGUUAAUCGAAAAACUCUUUAAAGACACAUUGGUUCCUUCCUUCCACCCUAUACUUAGCCCACCCGUUGUACCCACUGUCAAUACAACGAUUUCAUUGUGAAAACCACACUUAUGUUGUAUACAUUCCAUCCUCCUACAAUUCAGUUUAGUUUCUACUAAGAAGACCACUUGGUGAUGAUUGGGUUUUAGGAUAUGUUGAAACCUUCUACAAGCCCGAGGACUCCCCAAUCCCUAACAUUCCAACUAAAGAUCUUCAUUGUGUUCGGCCAGCCAGCCUUAUAACAGCUGCCGAUCUUCUCUGUUGAAUAAUUGGUCCUUGAACCUCUCUACAAUGCAUUAUAUCUAACUUUUCAACCUCAUCCAUGACCUUCGAUGAAAACCUUGGCCUCUUCUUUUCAACCGAUUCUUCUAUUGGCUUAUCCUCCACCUCUUGCAUCCAUUGUCUCCCUUUAGGUCCUCCCCAAUACCCCUUAUUCCCUCCCUCAUUCCCUUUUGACUUCCCUUCCAAAUUAAACCCUAAAAUAGAUUUCACUUGUUAAAACCCUUGGAAUUGUGAACAUCUCUGAUUCCUAUCCCUUACUCCUCCCCCCGAAUCUUUCCCAUCAACCCUGCUCCCAAAAACACCGCUCCCAUCAUCUUCACUUAGCCAAAUAAUCUUGGUAAUUGCCACUCUCCUUCCUGGCUUCCUGAAAGAUAGAUCCCAUCCUAAUUCUAGAUAUUGAUUCGAUUUUUCUCCCCUAAUAGGGCAGAAACUACCACUAUGCCCAAUGCGUCCACAUAGGAAGCAAAAAAGGGUCAAUUUUUCAUAUUGAAAUCUAACAUAGAAUUGCUUACCCGUUGAUGUUAUCAGUUUUUUCCUCCACUUUAAUGGAACUCUAACAUCCAUUAGAACCCUUACUCUCAUAUAAUCUCUAAAACCUUUGUUGAUUUGCUUCGCAUCAUAGUCCACAAAGGACCUCAAGAACACUUCAAACUGCUUAGCGGUUAUCUCAGAAACCAUACAUGGCGGCAAGUCAUAGAUCUAAACCCAGAAAAAAGAAUGUACCAAUGCUACAUCCAUCGAAUCCUCAUUCUCCAAUAGACGAUGGAACACCAACAGAUGAUUAUUAAAUGUCCAUGGAGCACCAUUAAUGACCUUAUUUAUAUCUACUUCAUUAUAAAACUUAAACAAAAACCUCUUUUUGGCCAGAUUUGAAAUUAAAGCCCCUCCAAUCGGAUGCCAUAAAUUAGCCAACGUGUUCCUCAUGGUCGGGAAGUGUACCACACUUGCUGUCAAAAAACAACCAACCAAACAAAACUCCUGCCUCGAUUCUUCCCUCUGCAAACCUCCAUCCACCCUCUUCCUCCCCAUCAUCAAGUCGCAGAUCUGCAAUACCAGCCUCCAUAUCAAAGUUAAUUUUUCAACCAAUGUCCAAAUCCCUAAUUUAAACCCUCUAUUAUACUCAGAAAAACAGACUCACAACAAACAAAACCCUAAGGAAAAUAGAAUUAUAUUAGACUGUGUCACAAGAACAGGCAAAGUUUCAGAGAAAACAUGCCAAAACAGCAGACUCCAAGUUGGCAAAGUACACAUCAUUAUAAAUUUUUAAAUAAAAUUGAGUUAAAAAAUAAAUAUAAAAAUUAUUCACCUCCCCUAUUGUCAUCCUAUUCGACUAUAAAUCUAUAAACUUAAAUAAUAAUAAUAAUAAGGGUGUCCAUAAGGGUUAAUUUCAAGAUACGUUUACUAAUUCUUUUUUUUUUUUAUCUCUCUCUCUCUUGCCAUUAAAAAGUUGAUGGUGUAUUUUUAAUUUUGACCUUUUACUUAUAAUCACAUUUGAAAUUUAAUCUUCAUAUUUUAAUUUGAUAUAAAAUGUUCUACUUUUACUAUGAAUUAAUUAGUCCAAAUUUAUUAUCCUCCACUAUUUCAAUUAAACUACUAACAUAAAUAUUUCUUAAAAACGCAUUUUUAACACACAAAAAAAAAUCUAUCUAUAAGUUAAAAUGUCUAUUUUAAGAAAAAAUAUAUACCUUAAUAUUUUAACUAUGAAUUCUUUUGAUUUAAAAUUUACAUUUUAUCUAGUAAAAAAUAUUUUAUUAAUUCCUUUUUUUAGAAAAUACAUAUUUAAAGGUGUUUGUAUAUGUCAAAUUACGAAUCAAUUUAUCAUUAUUUUUCAAGCAGUUAAAAGAAAAAAAAUAGAAACAAAAAAUUAUUUUAUUAUCUUUUAGUUUUUAUUUCUACAUAAUAUAUUUUAUAUAUAUCCGCAUGAAAAAUUAUAUUUAUUAAAUUAUAAUUUUUUAUUUUAAAUGAUGCAUUUAUAGGGUUUGAUCAGCAUAUUUAAUUGCAAAUUCAUUUAUUCAAAUUUUUUAACUUCAAUUUAUAUAUUUAAAGGUGUUGAUCAGUGCUUUCAUUUAUGAGUUAAGAUUGCUACUACAUCCGCUCUUUAAAAAGGGAUAAAAAUGUUGUGAGGCAUUUCUUAUUUAACACCUUUCCAAAUAGACACUUUUUCUUUUAUGUCUUUUUUAAAGAUUAUAUAUUAAUUGUUAAAUUUCAAUUUUGGUCCUUAUAUUAUGUUUAAUUUUGAAAUAUAAUCUCUAUUUUUAUAUAAUUUGGUAUCUCAACUUUUAUAAUGUCAUUAGUUAAUCUAAAUAUUUUAUUUUGAUUAAAAUAGUGAGUGAAUUUAUAAUAAUUGUUAAUAUCAUUAAAAUUAUGUAUUACAUUCAAGUCCAUUACAAUAUUAUCUUAUUUUGUUACAUGGAUACAAAUGAGUAUUUUUUUUUUUAAUUUCAAUAUGUCACACUAGAGAAUUUAACAAAAAAAAAAUUAACGGUGUUAAUAACUAGAUCCAAAAAAUAAAAUAACUAAAUUCCUAAAAAUAAAAAUAUAAUCAUUAAAUUCCAAAUAUAAGAAUUUAAAAUAUAUUUUAACUUUACAAUUUAAUCCAAAAAUAAUUAAUCCAAUGCGAAAUCUAUUGUAGUAACAAAUUAUUAUUAUGGUUUGCAUUGAUGGAGAGAGAGAGGGUUUGUAUUUAAGGAUUAUUAUUAUUAUAAUGUAAAGGUGAAGGUACAUAAAAGAAGACGUAGGUGUUGAAGCAACCUCCACAUCUUACACAAAUUCUCAACAUUACAUUAAAACUAAUAUAUGAAUCACCAAGUAACCAUGCACCAAUACUUUAUUCAUAGCUCUCAGCUUCUCCCUCCUACAAAAUCACCCAUUAUUCUCCUUCAUCGUUGCCUUCUUAUGGGACUGUAUACCCUGAAAAGUGUCGAAAUUUUACUAGUUAGCCUCAACAUAUUGGAAUACUUUUUUUAAAAAUUUUAAAAAUAUAUAUGUCAUUUUAAUGAUAUCAAAUAAUAUAACUAUAUAAAAUACUUAGUUUUCAAUAAUAUAUGCCAUUUACUCUAAAAAUAUUAUCCACUAAGAUAUAUUUUUAUUUUUAUUUAUAGUAAUAAAAAUUAGCAGUAAAAAUAAUCAUAAACUUAACAAAUUAUUUUUAAAUUUUAAUUUAUUUUUUAACAAAUUAUAUUAAAAGAUUUUUUUCCCCCAAAAUGGGUGGUAUGAAUUCUAGUCUAGUUAAUUUUAUAAGGGGAAAAAAGUGAAAGCCCGUUUAAAAAUGAGAAUGUCUUGGACCAGUCAGCUUGGUCUUGAUGUUCUGGGGUUGCCGAGCUUGUGCUAAUCACUUUAGGGCUUUACGUUUAUACCUUUAAUCUUCAAAACCAAGCCCAAAAGGAAACAUGCACAUGCACAAUGGCCGUUGUUAUUUGCCAGUCUUGAGCCCAAAACAUGGCAUUAAUUUAUGUAAAUGUUUGGUUAAGUUAAACACCACUUUCAAAAGAUAAAGAAGAGAAUGAGGUAGUGUACUUACUUCCACAUUUUUUGCCAGCUUGCCUGUUCCUAAUAUUGCAUUUUUUGGGAAUGGCAAUAGCAAUCCCAGGCAUGAUCCCGGCCUGCUUUGCCAAUGGUGAUAGCAAAAUAGCACAAAGGCACCUUGGAGAAGUCCUGAGUAAGGCACCCACCUUGGCGCAGCAAGCUGGAGGAACUUUAGCCCUUGCAUUCCGAGCCGCUCCCAGGCAUGGGCUUAAGCUUGCUGCAGCCGACCUGAUUGGGGUCCUCCCGCACUCUCCUGCUGCACCUGCAUCACUGACCAAUGCAUUCAAACUUAUCGAAAUCAAAAACAAAACAACCAGACAAUAAGGUUUCAAGCUCAAAGCCAUCUCUGUUACACUCCGCGAAACUCACUCUUUUU
Molecule: long non-coding RNA, 26573 nt
Filed under: Gossypium barbadense (sea-island cotton)
Lineage: Eukaryota; Viridiplantae; Streptophyta; Magnoliopsida; Malvales; Malvaceae
Description: long non-coding RNA (GBAR_LNC013579)
Rfam family: MIR7504 microRNA precursor family (bases 961-1083)
Source: RNAcentral